AUGUCUGACUCUGGGGGUUGGUGCUCAUCUCCAUUUCUAAGCCGAAGAGCCGGCAUUGUCCGUAGACACCUCCAAGGUCAUAUGGCCGGCAUGACUGCAUGGAGCGCCGUUACCUUCCCGCUGGAGUGGUACCUAUUGAUCUACUCACAUUGGCAUGUCCAUAGACACCUCCAAGGUCAUGUGGCCAUUGGCAGGACUGCAUGGAGCACCGUUACCUCCCCGCUGGAGUGGUACCUAUUGAUCUACUCACAUUGGCAUGUCCAUAGACACCUCCAAGGUCAUGUGGCCAUUGGCAGGACUGCAUGGAGCGCCGUUACCUUCCCGCUGGAGUGGUACCUAUUGAUCUACUCACAUUGGCAUGUCCGUAGACACCUCCAAGGUCAUGUGGCCAUUGGCAGGACUGCAUGGAACGCUGUUACCUUCCCGCUGGAGUGGUACCUAUUGAUCUACUCACAUUGGCAUGUCCAUAGACACCUCCAAGGUCAUGUGGCCAUUGGCAGGACUGCAUGGAGCACCGUUACCUCCCCGCUGGAGUGGUACCUAUUGAUCUACUCACAUUGGCAUGUCCAUAGACACCUCCAAGGUCAUGUGGCCAUUGGCAGGACUGCAUGGAGCGCCGUUACCUUCCCGCUGGAGUGGUACCUAUUGAUCUACUCACAUUGGCAUGUCCGUAGACACCUCCAAGGUCAUGUGGCCAUUGGCAGGACUGCAUGGAACGCUGUUACCUUCCCGCUGGAGUGGUACCUAUUGAUCUACUCACAUUGGCAUGUCCGUAGACACCUCCAAGGUCAUGUGGCCAUUGGCAUGACUGCAUGGAACACUGUUACCUUCCCGCUGGAGUGGUACCUAUUGAUCUACUCACAUUGGCAUGUCCGUAGACACCUCCAAGGUCAUGUGGCCAUUGGCAUGACUGCAUGGAACACUGUUACCUUCCCGCUGGAGUGGUACCUAUUGAUCUACUCACAUUUGCAUGUCCGUAGACACCUCCAAGGUCAUGUGGCCAUUGGCAUUACUGCAUGGAACACUGUUACCUUCCCGCUGGAGUGGUACCUAUCGAUCUACUCACAUUGGCAUGUUUUUGAACUGCUAAGUUGGCAGAAGCUGGGGCUAAUAGCGGAAACUCACUCUGCUCCCCGGAUUCGAGCCUGUCAACCUUUCGGUCAGCAAGUUCAGCAGCUCAGCGGUUUAACCCAAGGUCCCAAAGUGCAUCUACACUGUAGAAUUAAUACAGCUUGA
Molecule: long non-coding RNA, 1236 nt
Filed under: Anolis carolinensis (green anole)
Lineage: Eukaryota; Metazoa; Chordata; Lepidosauria; Squamata; Anolidae
Description: lncRNA (ENSACAG00000043776.1)
Source: RNAcentral